Polypterus senegalus (gray bichir) is the source of this 761-nucleotide long non-coding RNA. RefSeq lists it as uncharacterized. NCBI's taxonomy places the organism in Eukaryota, Metazoa, Chordata, Cladistia, Polypteriformes, Polypteridae. The transcript is spliced from 3 exons. The record is from RefSeq and is a predicted model, not a curated record.
CUCCCGGAUAAAAAAAAAAAGAGUCGGCGGUCCGCAUGGAAACGCAGCUCCGAGGAUUUAAGGGGCAGUAAAUACAAUCUGAUUUACAAACUCGCCGGACAAUUGGAAGCGCUGUAUUGGUUUUCAUUAUGAACGCCAGGAGCAAAGGACAAACAACAGUUUAGAGAGAAAGAGAGAGACAAGGAUUUAAGUGGAACGACUCCGGGUGCCGCUCCAGCUGCUGCGGACUUGCAGAGAAAAGGAAGUCGCACUGUUUGAUUGGGAAUCAUUGGGAAUCGCGCCCUCUCUUCUCCCUCACACGCGCUCUCAUACAGAUAAUAACGAUUUUUGAAUAUUUGUAAUGCGUUGUGAACAAUUAAAAUUAUUCUCCACUGGACUUGUAUUUUCCUGGCAUGUUUGCUGAUUUCACAGAGGGGAGUACCUACACCUUCCUGACUCUUGAUGUUACUGCUUUUAUGUGUAUUUAUAAUGCGCUUUUCUGGAGACAGCAGAACCUGCUGCAGAGUAGCAGCCACUGAGGAGAUUCGCGGGAGGAGAAGCGGCAUUUAAGGAAGCAGGGUGAAUUUCAAAAGCACAGGACAACUGGAAGCCAUACAAAGACUCUCUGAGUAUAUGCGCGUGUUGGUUGCAUCCCUGUGGAGGAUACCUCCCUAAGGCUGCUUCUGCAGUGAAUCGACAACAUGGAGACAUGCAGAGGAGCUGAAGCACUGGGAAGUGCAGUACUGGGAUCACUGGGGGCUGCUGGGAGCCAUGACAACCCU